This 500-nucleotide ribosomal RNA is filed under the name uncultured bacterium. Its description in RNAcentral is "partial 16S ribosomal RNA". It matches the Rfam family "Bacterial small subunit ribosomal RNA", at positions 29 to 523 of the family's 1533-position model. The record is from RNAcentral.
AUUGAACGCUGGCGGCAUGCCUUACACAUGCAAGUCGAACGGCGGCACGGGAGCAAUCCUGGUGGCGAGUGGCGAACGGGUGAGUAAAGUAUCGGAACGUGCCCAGUCGUGGGGGAUAACGUAGCGAAAGUUACGCUAAUACCGCAUACGAUCUAUGGAUGAAAGGGGGGGAUCGCACGACCUCGCGCGCUUGGAGCGGCCGAUAGCAGAUCAGGUAGUGGGUGGGGUAAAGGCUCACCAAGCCGCCGAUCUGUAGCUGGUCUGAGAGGACGACCAGCCACACUGGGACUGAGACACGGCCCAGACUCCUACGGGAGGCAGCAGUGGGGAAUUUUGGACAAUGGGCGAAAGCCUGAUCCAGCCAUGCCGCGUGCAGGAUGAAGGCCUUCGGGUUGUAAACUGCUUUUGUACGGAACGAAAAGGUUUGGCCUAAUAAGCUGAGCUCAUGACGGUACCGUAAGAAUAAGCACCGGCUAACUACGUGCCAGCCGCCGCGGUAA